GCAGGUAUCGUAUAAUGGCUAUUACCUCAGCCUUACAGGUUGGUGAUGUGGGUUCGAUUCCCGCUACUUGCCCCA
RNAcentral lists this transfer RNA (75 nucleotides) under Escherichia coli. RNAcentral's name for it is "tRNA-Val". It matches the Rfam family "tRNA". Rfam says of the family: Transfer RNA (tRNA) molecules are approximately 80 nucleotides in length. Their secondary structure includes four short double-helical elements and three loops (D, anti-codon, and T loops). Further hydrogen bonds mediate the characteristic L-shaped molecular structure. tRNAs have two regions of fundamental functional importance: the anti-codon, which is responsible for specific mRNA codon recognition, and the 3' end, to which the tRNAs corresponding amino acid is attached (by aminoacyl-tRNA synthetases). tRNAs cope with the degeneracy of the genetic code in two manners: having more than one tRNA (with a specific anti-codon) for a particular amino acid; and 'wobble' base-pairing, i.e. permitting non-standard base-pairing at the 3rd anti-codon position. The record is from RNAcentral. Lineage: Bacteria; Pseudomonadati; Pseudomonadota; Gammaproteobacteria; Enterobacterales; Enterobacteriaceae.